UUUCCGUAGGUGAACCUGCGGAAGGAUCAUUAUUGAAUGAAACACUUCUGGCUUUAUGCUGUUGUGCUGGCCCUUUGGGCAAUGUGCACACGGCUCUGGUCACUUGUUUCUUCUGUUCCACCUGUGCACUGCCUGUAGACACGCUGUGUCUAUGAUAUUUGUUAACACACAACAAUGUUAGUUGGCAUGUUAUAUAUAAUAAUAAAAUAUACAACUUUCAACAACGGAUCCCUUGGCUCUCGCAUCGAUGAUGAACGCAGC
RNAcentral lists this unclassified non-coding RNA (261 nucleotides) under plant metagenome. Its description in RNAcentral is "partial contains small subunit ribosomal RNA, internal transcribed spacer 1, and 5.8S ribosomal RNA". The stretch from base 213 to 261 matches the Rfam family "5.8S ribosomal RNA", at positions 1 to 49 of the family's 154-position model. The record is from RNAcentral.